CUAAGAAUCUUCCGCAAUGGGCGAAAGCCUGACGGAGCGACGCCGCGUGAACGAAGAAGGCCGUGAGGUUGUAAAGUUCUUUUCGGGAGGGGGAACAACCGUGGCAGGGAAUGGCCGCGGGAUGACGUGAAUCCCGGAAUAAGCCCCGGCUAACUACGUGCCAGCAGCCGCGGUAACACGUAGGGGGCGAGCGUUGUUCGGAAUCAUUGGGCGUAAAGGGCGUGCAGGCGGUCCUGCAAGUCCGGCGUGAAAGACCCCGGCCCAACCGGGGGGACGCGCUGGAAACUGCGGGGCUUGAGUACAGGAGGGGAUGCCGGAAUUCCAGGUGUAGGGGUGAAAUCUGUAGAUAUCUGGAAGAACACCAAUGGCGAAGGCAGGCAUCUGGCCAUGUACUGACGCUGAGACGCGAAGGUGCGGGGAGCAAACAGGUUUAGAUACCCUGGUAGUCCGCACAGUAAACGAUGUGCACCAGGUGGCGGGGGGUCGACCCUCGGUACCGUAGCUA
RNAcentral lists this ribosomal RNA (505 nucleotides) under uncultured bacterium. RNAcentral describes it as "bacterial SSU rRNA". It matches the Rfam family "Bacterial small subunit ribosomal RNA", at positions 355 to 854 of the family's 1533-position model. The record is from RNAcentral.